Molecule: long non-coding RNA, 579 nt
Organism: Cyprinus carpio carpio
Lineage: Eukaryota; Metazoa; Chordata; Actinopteri; Cypriniformes; Cyprinidae
Source: Ensembl
AUGCAAUGGGGAAGACGACAGGUGAUUAGCAAGCUCAAUGGAGCAGUUCACAGGAUUGAUGAAGAAUGUAAUGAAGGUUUUGGUCUUACAGGAGAUUGUGGAUGGAACAAAUGGAGGACGGAUGACAACAGACAGCUCAGAGUAACGGGCAAUCAUGCUACAAACAUGGAGACAAGGGAGGAGACAGACGUUGGAGUGGAGCGCUGGAGAACACACUGGAGAAGACACAGGAGACCCCCUGAUUAUCCUCCUGUGGUUCUCCCUUGUUGUCCUCCCUGUUUCCUGGAACCUGUCUUGAUAUUCUGCUUACCUGCCAUUUACUCUGCAUUUCAAUCCUGUUUAAUAAAAGCCUGUCAUCUCACUAACCUCCCGCUGAUUUGUGACAAUAAGUGUGUACUGUGUAUAUUUAUCAUGUGUAUAUAUAAAUACAAGCGCAUGCAUAUAUUUAAGAAAAGUGUGUUGUGUUUGUAUAUUAAAUAUAUUUUAUAUAAAAAUAUAAUAUAAAUGUAUAUACAUGUAAAUAUUUUCUAAAUACUCAAUGUGUGUGUGUAUUUAUAUAUACAUAAGAAAUAAACACAG